ACUUAAUUGGAUUAAAUCCGUCGAUUUCAAAAAUCAUGAGGGUUCAAGUCCCUCUAUCC
RNAcentral lists this transfer RNA (59 nucleotides) under Achyrocline alata. RNAcentral describes it as "partial tRNA-Leu". RNAcentral also lists the same sequence under 1 other name. Lineage: Eukaryota; Viridiplantae; Streptophyta; Magnoliopsida; Asterales; Asteraceae. The record is from RNAcentral.